GACGGAGGAUGCAAGCGUUAUCCGGAAUGAUUGGGCGUAAAGCGUCCGCAGGUGGCAGUUCAAGUCUGCUGUCAAAGACCGGGGCUUAACUUCGGAAAGGCAGUGGAAACUGAACAGCUAGAGUAUGGUAGGGGCAGAGGGAAUUCCUGGUGUAGCGGUGAAAUGCGUAGAGAUCAGGAAGAACAUCGGUGGCGAAGGCGCUCUGCUGGACCAUAACUGACACUCAGAGACGAAAGCUAGGGUAGCAAAUGGG
RNAcentral lists this ribosomal RNA (253 nucleotides) under uncultured bacterium. RNAcentral's name for it is "partial 16S ribosomal RNA". It matches the Rfam family "Bacterial small subunit ribosomal RNA", at positions 524 to 776 of the family's 1533-position model. The record is from RNAcentral.